AGAAGCACCCAUCAUCAGUCAGCUGAAUCCCGUGGAUCGAUCGACCGCCGGCCACAGCAUCGGUUCUCCAAACGGCGACGAGCACGUCCGAAGCUGGUCGUUAGAUAGAUAGAUAGAUAGAUACGUGAUGGAGAACGACAGGAACAACCAGGCGCCGCCGCUACCCCCAGGUUAAUUAAUUUCGAUCGCCAUUUUCGACCUCCAUGCUUAUUUCUGAAACUGUCGCUGGAUUCGCUGCAUCGAUUCAAUUAGUUGUUGGCUUGUUUGCUCAUGCGCGUGCCGUUGGUGUGUGCGUGCAGGCUACUACCCAUCUGCGGCUGCGGAGCAACGUCAAGCCGGUGGCGGGAAGAAGUCGCGCCGGGGGAGCACCAAAUCCAGGGGCGAGAAGGGAUUCAUCGAAGGAUGGUACGUACGCCCCACUACCACCUCCUUUGUAAUUUGCUUAACUGUCCUUAGUGAUUUCCAGCCUGAUAAUGGUCUGAAUUUGGUCUGUGUUUUUCAGCCUGGCGGCGCUGUGCUGCUGCUGGAUCUGUGAGAUGUGCUGCGACUAACCGGCCGGCGACGUCGCUGCCGUUGGUGCUAGUACCUGCGUUGAAGAACGUACACAUACAGAGAGAGUCGCUGCUUAAUUACAGUGUUUGUUUGUUUGUUUGUUGUUUUAGGUUCUGCGUAACUAACCGAGAACCCGCGCGCGUGUGAUGUCCUUGUACCGUUCCUCAAACCUAUAAUCAAUUUUAAGGCACCAAAUUAUCGGGCUACUCUUGAAGAUCCUCUAAUUAAAGAUAACAUCUGCCGUGCAAAAAUGAAAGCUUUUUUCUGCUUAUAACUUUUUUUAAUAAAGAC
This 843-nucleotide long non-coding RNA is filed under the name Triticum aestivum (bread wheat). Its description in RNAcentral is "long non-coding RNA (TAES_LNC026430)". Lineage: Eukaryota; Viridiplantae; Streptophyta; Magnoliopsida; Poales; Poaceae. The record is from RNAcentral.